GGAUGCUUAGCGGAGUGGUUACCGCGUUGGUCUUCGAUUCGGCGAAAGCUCGGGGCAACCAAAGGUCGUCGGUUCAAGUCCGGCAGCAUUCA
Transfer RNA from Calocera cornea HHB12733, 92 nucleotides. It matches the Rfam family "tRNA". Rfam says of the family: Transfer RNA (tRNA) molecules are approximately 80 nucleotides in length. Their secondary structure includes four short double-helical elements and three loops (D, anti-codon, and T loops). Lineage: Eukaryota; Fungi; Basidiomycota; Dacrymycetes; Dacrymycetales; Dacrymycetaceae. The record is from Rfam.